AUACGGAGGGGGUUAGCGUUGUUCGGAAUUACUGGGAGUAAAGCGCGCGUAGGCGGAUUGGUAAGUUAGAGGUGAAAUCCCGGGGCUCAACCCCGGAACUGCCUUUGAUACUGCCAGUCUUGAGUUCGAGAGAGGUGAGUGGAAUUCCGAGUGUAGAGGUGAAAUUCGUAGAUAUUCGGAGGAACACCAGUGGCGAAGGCGGCUCACUGGCUCGAUACUGACGCUGAGGUGCGAAAGCGUGGGGAGCAAACAGGAUUAGAAACCCUAGUAGUCC
RNAcentral lists this ribosomal RNA (274 nucleotides) under uncultured bacterium. Its description in RNAcentral is "partial 16S ribosomal RNA". It matches the Rfam family "Bacterial small subunit ribosomal RNA", at positions 523 to 796 of the family's 1533-position model. The record is from RNAcentral.